Long non-coding RNA from Fukomys damarensis (Damara mole-rat), 448 nucleotides. RefSeq lists it as uncharacterized. The record is from RefSeq and is a predicted model, not a curated record. NCBI's taxonomy places the organism in Eukaryota, Metazoa, Chordata, Mammalia, Rodentia, Bathyergidae. The transcript has 3 exons.
AGGAUUACAGACAUGUGCCACCUUGCCCAGAUUGAAAUCAAGUACUUUUCACAAACUUUUACAUGGCAGAAUCUGACCCGAAGCAUCUAUACCAUUAAGUGAUUGCUUCGUACAUCUAUUUGGGAUCAGAAGAGCGGGCUGUGGCUGUUCCCUGCUUGGGGAAAUGAGGCACCGACCCUAACUCUUCAUGCCCCAGACCUGCCCUUGAGCUGUUCUACAAGGUCUUCUGUGUGAGGACAUCCGGACCAUCCACCCAGCACUCUGGCCUGGUUCCAGAACAUUCUGUUCGUGAGACUGGCCACACCCAGGGAGAGCCAAGAGCAGUGUGGGAGAUGGAAGGGGGAGGAAUGCUGAGCAAGGUAGCACAGCCAUGGAUGUGGAACGCAGACUUCGUGCCUCGAUGACUUCCUCUAAUGACUUCCAGCCACACCCUCCACCACCAACUGAA